UGGGGAAUCUUGCGCAAUGGGGGAAACCCUGACGCAGCGACGCCGCGUGCGGGAUGAAGGCCUUCGGGUUGUAAACCGCUUUCAGCAGGGACGAGGCCUUAUGGUGACGGUACCUGCAGAAGAAGCUCCGGCUAAAUACGUGCCAGCAGCCGCGGUAAUACGUAUGGAGCAAGCGUUAUCCGGAUUCAUUGGGCGUAAAGCGCUCGUAGGCGGUCUGUUAGGUCGGCAAGUUAAAUCCGGGGGCUCAACCCCCGUCCGCUUCCGAUACCGGCAGACUUGAGUUUGGUAGGGGAAGGUGGAAUUCCUAGUGUAGCGGUGAAAUGCGCAGAUAUUAGGAAGAAUACCGGUGGCGAAGGCGACUUUCUGGUCAUCAUCUGACGCUGAGGUACGAAAGCGUGGGUAGCAAACAGG
This 411-nucleotide ribosomal RNA is filed under the name Verrucomicrobiota bacterium. Its description in RNAcentral is "Verrucomicrobia bacterium partial 16S ribosomal RNA". It matches the Rfam family "Bacterial small subunit ribosomal RNA", at positions 355 to 776 of the family's 1533-position model. Lineage: Bacteria; Pseudomonadati; Verrucomicrobiota. The record is from RNAcentral.